This 476-nucleotide unclassified non-coding RNA is filed under the name Orthoclada laxa. Its description in RNAcentral is "partial external transcribed spacer". The record is from RNAcentral. Lineage: Eukaryota; Viridiplantae; Streptophyta; Magnoliopsida; Poales; Poaceae.
UUGGCUACGCGAGCGCAUGAGUUGUGCUGGACCUGUGACUAUCGAGAGGCCCCCCGUCGUUGUGUGGCCAACUCUCGGUGCCUAUGUCCUUUCAAUCGUUGGCUAUUAUGUGCCUGACCAUUUGAUGAGUGCUUGCGUGCUGCUACCAGUCGCACUGGGAGUUGCAUUUGCUACAUGUUGUUUUCGACGUGCGCGCCCCUAGGGGCAUGUCACGUCGACUUGAAAGUGUCCACGGUGUUGCCUCAUGUAGUUGGCUGCAUAGGCCAGCAUCAUCAAGGCCACCUCAUGAAUGCAAUUGGCCCCGGAUGCGGCUUACUCUAAAGGCUGAAGGUGCUUCGGCGCCCGUGCCUAGCAAAGAUUGUCCGUUUGGAAACAACGACAGCUAGCCCGGCUGAUGUCCCGUGCGGAGGCCAGUGCUUGCUCGUCGACGAGGACGUGCUACCUGGUUGAUCCUGCCAGUAGUCAUAUGCUUGUCU